This 1076-nucleotide long non-coding RNA is filed under the name Marmota monax (woodchuck). Lineage: Eukaryota; Metazoa; Chordata; Mammalia; Rodentia; Sciuridae. The record is from RNAcentral.
UAUACUUUUGUAACUUGUACUCCUUUGUUAGGUGGGGAAAAGUGCAGCCAUGUUUGCACUGGGCUGUCUGGCCACGGACACAGGGCAUCACAGGAGAACCCUGGCAGGCUUUUCCAUCAGCAGGUCAACCAGCCACUCCUCUUCCCUGACACUGCAGAAAGAGAGCCUUGCCCAUGGUGCUCUUCCUCUUCAGAUUCCUGGGGAUCACAGGGCAGAGCAGUGGGGUUCCUGGUGCAUGCACAGUGGAAGGACAUCCACGCAUCACAGGAUAGGUCACAGUAGGGGAGGCUGAUGGUCAUUCAGUUUAGAUAAAAUUCUUGGGGCCCCUCCAGAACUUCUGUGGAGCUCCCUCCAUGCUCCUCCAUGCUUGAAAACAGCCCUCUCAAUCCCAAAGCAAAACUAAGGUCAGAUUUGAUUUCAUUUCCCCCCAAAUACUGGAAAUAUUUUUUAAAUGUAUUUUUUCAUAUUUUCAUAUUUACCAGCAGAGAAAAUGUCUGGGCCCAUACUGAACACUGUCAGGUGGGAAAGAAUAAAAUAAUUAAAUCAAUUCUUUUCAGAGUCUGUCAGCCCAGUCACUGUGUCUAUAAAGCAGUCCCUGGUUUCACUGGUGUCUAGACUCAGCCCAGUCACCUGAAUUCAUUUCCCAUCGAUGCAACUACAGUUAGUAAGGAUAAAUAGAUACUUGGUUAUUUUAUGUGAAUAAUAUGGGAUAUGGGAAUAAAAUGAGGGCAUAAUAAAUCUGGAUAUUAUUGGUACUGUUAGUCCUAAUAGGUUAAUCUUCAUUCCACUCAACUAAUAUAUCCAGUGACCUGAAGUGACCGUUUUCCUGUUUCUGGAUGGGACACUUUAUGUUUGCCCUUACAGAUGCAUGUGCUGCGCAUUUGGGAGGAACGGCUUCCUUUCUUCUGUUUCUUACACCCCGGAUCCUGUUUUCUGCUUGGCACAGGGUGACAUCUUGAGCAAGUCUGUUGAGAAUUGAACCACCCCACCCUUUUCCAUAUAUUGACCAAAACGAAUUUGGAUGAACAGACUGUGGCCUCCUGACUGUCCUUUCAUUCCUUCCAGCAGUGUCCAUG